This 171-nucleotide ribosomal RNA is filed under the name Polymixia sazonovi (Polymixia sazanovi Kotlyar, 1992). RNAcentral's name for it is "partial 12S ribosomal RNA". Lineage: Eukaryota; Metazoa; Chordata; Actinopteri; Polymixiiformes; Polymixiidae. The record is from RNAcentral.
CACCGCGGUUAUACGAGAGGCCCAAGUUGAUAGGUGCCGGCGUAAAGCGUGGUUAAGGUUAAUAUAAACUAGAGCCGAACACCAUCAAAGCUGUUAUACGCACCCGAUAGUAUGAAGAUCCACCACGAAAGUGGCUCUAACCACACCCCUGAAUCCACGAAAGCUAUAAAA